This is a non-coding RNA of Podarcis lilfordi (Lilford's wall lizard), 1870 nucleotides long. NCBI's taxonomy places the organism in Eukaryota, Metazoa, Chordata, Lepidosauria, Squamata, Lacertidae. The record is from the annotation of a GenBank genome assembly.
CAUCGCUGGGCCACAAGGAGAGGAAGAAGGACUUGCCAGUUUAUUUAAAAUUGUGAAUGAAGGUUUUGAAAAACUGGGUCAACAGAAUGCCGAGGCACUAGAAGCUAUUAGACAAAACUCAGCAAGUAUUGAUAAGCUGACUCGACAGACUAAUGAAAAUACAGAUGUGAUUAAAAAAUUACUGGAACAAUCUGCUGAAACUCAAAAAACAGCUUUGGAAGCUAGAGAAAAGGCGGUAGCUGCUGAAGAAAAAUUACCACCUUUAAUUAAACAAGUUGAAGAGCACCAUAUAAGAUUGGGAACGCACCAGGAAUUGCUAUCUGUCCUUGAGCUAAAGGAGAAACAGACCAAUUUAAGGAUCAGAGCAGUACCUGAGAUUGAGAAAGAGAGCCUGGUAGACUUUUUGACACAAGAAUUCGCCAAUUUUUGGCAAUUGAACGAUAAGGAAGAUUUCAAGAUAACGUCUGCUUUCAGGCUUGGAAGAGGAGCAAGAAAGAACAGAGUGAGAGACUGCCUGAUUACCUUGCGAUCUAAGGAGGAACGAGAUAAAAUUUUGAGUUCACACUACCGAAAUACACUGAUAAUACAAGACUCAAGGAUAGAAAUAUUUAAAGACAUUCCAAAGCUCCUUUUGGAGCUUAGGUCCAACUACCGGGACCUGGUGACGCUGCUGAGAGGAAACAGAAUUUUUUUCAGGUGGGAAUUUCCUCAAGGCCUAUCUUUCAGUUUUAAAGGCAAGAAAAUUAAAAUAAAAUCUGUGGAGGAGAAACAGAACUUUUUGAGAGACCAUCAAGAGGACCUACAAAAAGGAUUGGGGCAGGAGCCAGAAGCCCCUUUACCAGGAUUGGAUCCUACACUACCACCGUUGGGAGAGGAUAAGACAGAGAAGGCGAAACCACCAACAGAGGAAGAAGAGUUAUUGGGAGCAGUUGGAGGAAAAUAAAGAAAUCAUCAUGGCUCUGCAACUUUUAACUUGGAAUGUUUGUGGUCUAAAUUCUCCGGAAAAAAGGAGGAAAGUAUUUCAUAUACUUAAAAAAGAACAAUUGGACUUAAUCUGCUUACAGGAAACCCAUGUGACGAGGCUCCACAGGAAAAUAUUGAUUAAUAAGAGAUUGGGUCAAGAAUUUAUUUCAUCAGAUAAAAUUAAAAAACGAGGAGUGGUCAUUUACGCAAAGGAGAGCCUCUCACCAAAAUUCGUCUUUAAGGAUGAACAAGGAAGAUUCAUAGCAAUUGAAAUUCAAGCACAAGGAGAAAAACUUUUGAUAGUAGGCUUAUAUGCACCAAAUGAGGGGAAAUCUAUAUUUUACAAAAAGUUGCAUGAGAUCUUGAUGGACUAUAUGGACUAUAACACUGUUUUUAUGGGAGAUAUGAAUGGGGUGGUUUCCACAAACAUGGACAAGUCACAAAGAGAGGUAGUCACUAAAGAUGGCAGACUACCGAAAACAUUCUUUGAAUUAACUGACAAUAUGGAUUUGAUUGACAUUUGGAGAACUAGGAAUCCCCUUGAUAGAGAAGGAACCUUUUUUUCUGAAGCCCAAAAGACAUGGACAAGAAUUGACCAAAUCUGGACUACUAGAGGACUGGCACCUAAGGUUAGGAAGGUAGAGAUCUGUCCAAAAACAUGCUCCGACCAUAACGCCGUGAGAAUGGAGAUGAAGUUAACAUCUACUGGUUCCUUCCGAUGGAGGAUGAAUGACACCUUGUUUAGAGAUCAAGAGGUGAUUAAGAAGGCCCAAAAGACAUUGAGAGACUAUUUUGAGAUAAACUUGAAUACAGCUGUAGAAAAAAGAAUAAUCUGGGACGCAAGUAAAGCUGUUAUGAGGGGCUUCCUGAUUCAACAGAAUUCAGUUAAGAAGAGGGCCCAAAAUGU